RNAcentral lists this ribosomal RNA (745 nucleotides) under uncultured bacterium. RNAcentral's name for it is "bacterial SSU rRNA". It matches the Rfam family "Bacterial small subunit ribosomal RNA", at positions 603 to 1344 of the family's 1533-position model. The record is from RNAcentral.
CGGGGCUUAACCCCGUGGUGUGCAGUGGGUACGGGCAGACUAGAGUGCAGUAGGGGAGACUGGAAUUCCUGGUGUAGCGGUGAAAUGCGCAGAUAUCAGGAGGAACACCGAUGGCGAAGGCAGGUCUCUGGGCUGUUACUGACGCUGAGGAGCGAAAGCAUGGGGAGCGAACAGGAUUAGAUACCCUGGUAGUCCAUGCCGUAAACGUUGGGCACUAGGUGUGGGGGACAUUCCACGUUUUCCGCGCCGUAGCUAACGCAUUAAGUGCCCCGCCUGGGGAGUACGGCCGCAAGGCUAAAACUCAAAGGAAUUGACGGGGGCCCGCACAAGCGGCUGAGCAUGCGGAUUAAUUCGAUGCAACGCGAAGAACCUUACCAAGGCUUGACAUACACCAGACCGGCCCAGAGAUGGGUUUUCCUCUUUGAGGUUGGUGUACAGGUGGUGCAUGGCUGUCGUCAGCUCGUGUCGUGAGAUGUUGGGUUAAGUCCCGCAACGAGCGCAACCCUCGUUCUAUGUUGCCAGCACGUGAUGGUGGGGACUCAUAGGAGACUGCCGGGGUCAACUCGGAGGAAGGUGGGGAUGACGUCAAAUCAUCAUGCCCCUUAUGUCUUGGGCUUCACGCAUGCUACAAUGGCCGGUACAAUGGGUUGCGAUACCGUGAGGUGGAGCUAAUCCCAAAAAGCUGGUCUCAGUUCGGAUCGUGGUCUGCAACUCGACCACGUGAAGUCGGAGUCGCUAGUAAUCG